This 517-nucleotide ribosomal RNA is filed under the name Dipsas gracilis. Its description in RNAcentral is "LSU rRNA". It matches the Rfam family "Bacterial large subunit ribosomal RNA", at positions 1810 to 2603 of the family's 2925-position model. The record is from RNAcentral. Lineage: Eukaryota; Metazoa; Chordata; Lepidosauria; Squamata; Dipsadidae.
AAAACAUAACCUUUAGCUAAACAAAUAUUAAAGGCAACGCCUGCCCAGUGAACAAUUAAACGGCCGCGGUACCCUAACCGUGCAAAGGUAGCGUAAUCAUUUGUCUAUUAAUUGUAGACCAGUAUGAAAGGCAAAAUGAGGGUCCACCUGUCUCUUACAAUAAAUCAAUUAAACUGAUCUCCUAGUAAAAAAGCUAGAAUAUAUACAUAAGACCAGAAGACCCUGUGAAGCUUAAAUCAAACUAUUAAAUCUCCUAAUACCUACUUUCGGUUGGGGCGACCUUGGAAAAAAAAAGAACUUCCAAACAAUAUGACCAUACUCAUACACAGGCCCACAAGCCUUAUACGACCCAGUACAGCUGAUAAUUGAACCAAGUUACUCCAGGGAUAACAGCGCCAUCUUCUUCAAGAGUCCAUAUCAAAAAGAAGGUUUACGACCUCGAUGUUGGAUCAGGACAUCCUAAUGGUGCAGCCGCUAUUAAGGGUUCGUUUGUUCAACGAUUAACAGUCCUACGUGA